UUACCUACGGGGCGCAGCAGUGAGGAAUAUUGGUCAAUGGGCGCGAGCCUGAACCAGCCAAGUCGCGUGAGGGAAGACGGUCCUAUGGAUUGUAAACCUCUUUUGUCGGGGAGCAAAAGACGCCACGCGUGGCGUUCCGAGGGUACCCGAAGAAAAAGCAUCGGCUAACUCCGUGCCAGCAGCCGCGGUAAUACGGAGGAUGCGAGCGUUAUCCGGAUUUAUUGGGUUUAAAGGGUGCGCAGGCGGAAGAUCAAGUCAGCGGUAAAAUUGAGGGGCUCAACCCCUUCCCGCCAUUGAACCUGGCG
RNAcentral lists this ribosomal RNA (305 nucleotides) under uncultured bacterium. Its description in RNAcentral is "bacterial SSU rRNA". It matches the Rfam family "Bacterial small subunit ribosomal RNA", at positions 335 to 638 of the family's 1533-position model. The record is from RNAcentral.